This 432-nucleotide ribosomal RNA is filed under the name uncultured bacterium. RNAcentral describes it as "partial 16S ribosomal RNA". It matches the Rfam family "Bacterial small subunit ribosomal RNA", at positions 29 to 507 of the family's 1533-position model. The record is from RNAcentral.
AACGAACGCUGGCGGCAGGCCUAACACAUGCAAGUCGAGCGAGGACUUCGGUUCUAGCGGCGGACGGGUGAGUAACGCGUGGGAAUGUGCCCUUCUCUACGGAAUAGCCCUGGGAAACUGGGAGUAAUACCGUAUACGCCCUAUUGGGGAAAGAUUUAUCGGAGAAGGAUCAGCCCGCGUUGGAUAGGUAGUUGGUGGGGUAAUGGCCUACCAAGCCGACGAUCCAUAGCUGGUUUGAGAGGAUGAUCAGCCACACUGGGACUGAGACACGGCCCAGACUCCUACGGGAGGCAGCAGUGGGGAAUCUUAGACAAUGGGGGCAACCCUGAUCUAGCCAUGCCGCGUGAGUGAUGAAGGCCUUAGGGUUGUAAAGCUCUUUCAGCUGGGAAGAUAAUGACGGUACCAGCAGAAGAAGCCCCGGCUAACUCCGUG